RNAcentral lists this ribosomal RNA (627 nucleotides) under uncultured bacterium. Its description in RNAcentral is "bacterial SSU rRNA". It matches the Rfam family "Bacterial small subunit ribosomal RNA", at positions 8 to 612 of the family's 1533-position model. The record is from RNAcentral.
AGAGUUUGAUCAUGGCUCAGAACGAACGUUGGCGGCGUGCUUAACACAUGCAAGUCGAACGAGAAAGUUCCUUCGGGAAUGAGUAAAGUGGCGCACGGGUGAGUAACGCGUAAGUAAUCUACCUUUGCAUCUGGAAUAACUACGGGAAGCUGUAGCUAAUACCGGAUACGUUCAUAUAGUUACGACUAUAUGAAGAAAGAUGGCCUCUUCUUGAAAGCUAUCGUGCAGAGAGGAGCUUGCGUACCAUUAGCUAGUUGGUAGGGUAAUGGCCUACCAAGGCAACGAUGGUUAGCGGGUCUGAGAGGAUGAUCCGCCACACUGGAACUGGAACACGGACCAGACUCCUACGGGAGGCAGCAGUGAGGAAUAUUGCGCAAUGGGGGAAACCCUGACGCAGCGACGCCGCGUGGAUGAUGAAGGCCUUAGGGUCGUAAAAUCCUGUCAGGUGGGAAGAAAUGUACGAGGGACCAAUACCCCUUGUGCUUGACGGUACCACCAAAGGAAGCACCGGCUAACUCCGUGCCAGCAGCCGCGGUAAUACGGAGGGUGCAAACGUUGUUCGGAAUUACUGGGCGUAAAGCGCGCGUAGGCGGUUUGUUAAGUCAGAUGUGAAAGCCCAAGGCUCAA